UACGAAGGGGGCUAGCGUUGCUCGGAAUUACUGGGCGUAAAGGGCGCGUAGGCCGAUAGUUUAGUCAGAGGUAAAAGCCCAGGGCUCAACCUUGGAACUGCCUUUGAUACUGGCUAUCUUGAGUUCGGGAGAGGUGAGUGGAACUGCGAGUGUAGAGGUGAAAUUCGUAGAUAUUCGCAAGAACACCAGUGGCGAAGGCGGCUCACUGGCCCGGUACUGACGCUGAGGUGCGAAAGCGUGGGGAGCAAACAGG
RNAcentral lists this ribosomal RNA (253 nucleotides) under uncultured bacterium. Its description in RNAcentral is "partial 16S ribosomal RNA". It matches the Rfam family "Bacterial small subunit ribosomal RNA", at positions 524 to 776 of the family's 1533-position model. The record is from RNAcentral.